Molecule: ribosomal RNA, 693 nt
Filed under: Peribacillus simplex
Lineage: Bacteria; Bacillati; Bacillota; Bacilli; Caryophanales; Bacillaceae
Description: bacterial SSU rRNA
Rfam family: Bacterial small subunit ribosomal RNA
Source: RNAcentral
GCUCCCUGAGAUUAGCGGCGGACGGGUGAGUAACACGUGGGCAACCUGCCUAUAAGACUGGGAUAACUUCGGGAAACCGGAGCUAAUACCGGAUACGUUCUUUUCUCGCAUGAGAGAAGAUGGAAAGACGGUUUACGCUGUCACUUAUAGAUGGGCCCGCGGCGCAUUAGCUAGUUGGUGAGGUAAUGGCUCACCAAGGCGACGAUGCGUAGCCGACCUGAGAGGGUGAUCGGCCACACUGGGACUGAGACACGGCCCAGACUCCUACGGGAGGCAGCAGUAGGGAAUCUUCCGCAAUGGACGAAAGUCUGACGGAGCAACGCCGCGUGAACGAAGAAGGCCUUCGGGUCGUAAAGUUCUGUUGUUAGGGAAGAACAAGUACCAGAGUAACUGCUGGUACCUUGACGGUACCUAACCAGAAAGCCACGGCUAACUACGUGCCAGCAGCCGCGGUAAUACGUAGGUGGCAAGCGUUGUCCGGAAUUAUUGGGCGUAAAGCGCGCGCAGGUGGUUCUUUAAGUCUGAUGUGAAAGCCCACGGCUCAACCGUGGAGGGUCAUUGGAAACUGGGGAACUUGAGUGCAGAAGAGGAAAGUGGAAUUCCAAGUGUAGCGGUGAAAUGCGUAGAGAUUUGGAGGAACACCAGUGGCGAAGGCGACUUUCUGGUCUGUAACUGACACUGAGGCGCGAAAGC